AGUGGCGAACGGGUGAGUAACGCGUAAACAACCUGCCUUUAGGAUGGGGACAACAGUUGGAAACGACUGCUAAUACCGAAUGAGCUUCGAUUACCGCAUGGUAGAAGAAGAAAAGAUGGCCUCUCAUAGAAGCUAUCGCCAAGAGAGGGGUUUGCGUCUGAUUAGCUAGUUGGAAGGGUAACGGCCUACCAAGGCGAUGAUCAGUAGCCGGUCUGAGAGGAUGGACGGCCACAUUGGGACUGAGACACGGCCCAAACUCCUACGGGAGGCAGCAGUGGGGAAUCUUCCGCAAUGGACGAAAGUCUGACGGAGCAACGCCGCGUGAGUGAUGACGGUUUUCGGAUUGUAAAGCUCUGUUGAGUGGGACGAACGGCAUUAUGGCUAAUAUCCAUAGUGAGUGACGGUACCACUUUAGAAAGCCACGGCUAACUACGUGCCAGCAGCCGCGGUAAUACGUAGGUGGCAAGCGUUGUCCGGAAUUAUUGGGCGUAAAGCGCGCGCAGGCGGUUUUUUAAGUCGGUCUUAAAAGUGCAGGGCUUAACCCUGUGAUGGGACUGAAACUGGAAGACUAGAGUAUCGGAGAGGAAAGUGGAAUUCCUAGUGUAGCGGUGAAAUGCGUAGAUAUUAGGAGGAACACCAGUGGCGAAGGCGACUUUCUGGACGAAAACUGACGCUGAGGCGCGAAAGCCAGGGGAGCGAACGGGAUUAGAUACCCCGGUAGUCCUGGCCGUAAACGAUGGAUACUAGGUGUGGGGGGGUAUCGACCCCUCCCGUGCCGGAGUUAACGCAAUAAGUAUCCCGCCUGGGGAGUACGACCGCAAGGGUUGAAACUCAAAGGAAUUGACGGGGGCCCGCACAAGCGGUGGAGUAUGUGGCUUUAAUUCGACGCA
This 890-nucleotide ribosomal RNA is filed under the name uncultured bacterium. RNAcentral describes it as "bacterial SSU rRNA". It matches the Rfam family "Bacterial small subunit ribosomal RNA", at positions 94 to 958 of the family's 1533-position model. The record is from RNAcentral.